GACGAACGCUGGCGGCGCGCCUAACACAUGCAAGUCGAACGAGCGAGAGAGAGCUUGCUUUCUUGAGCGAGUGGCGAACGGGUGAGUAACGCGUGAGGAACCUGCCUCAAAGAGGGGGACAACAGUUGGAAACGACUGCUAAUACCGCAUAAGCCCACGGUGCCGCAUGGCACAGAGGGAAAAGGAGCAAUCCGCUUUGAGAUGGCCUCGCGUCCGAUUAGCUAGUUGGUGAGGUAACGGCCCACCAAGGCGACGAUCGGUAGCCGGACUGAGAGGUUGAACGGCCACAUUGGGACUGAGACACGGCCCAGACUCCUACGGGAGGCAGCAGUGGGGAAUAUUGCAAAAUGGGGGAAACCCUGAUGCAGCGACGCCGCGUGGAGGAAGAAGGUCUUCGGAUUGUAAACUCCUGGUGUUGGGGAAGAUAAUGACGGUACCCAACAAGGAAGUGACGGCUAACUACGUG
This 466-nucleotide ribosomal RNA is filed under the name uncultured bacterium. RNAcentral describes it as "partial 16S ribosomal RNA". It matches the Rfam family "Bacterial small subunit ribosomal RNA", at positions 28 to 507 of the family's 1533-position model. The record is from RNAcentral.